AGUGUUGUACAUGGAUAGUGGAAGAAGGUCUACCAUAUCUGACGUCGCUUCCUGCCCAGAGCAAGACACUUGCUGACGCUGUCAGACAAAAGAUUAACUUCGAAAACGAAUUCUAUAAGCCCGUGAAGGUAAGUUGUUUAUUCAUUAGAUGGAGUUUUAAACGCAAGAAUCUUACAGCUAGCUUGUCAACAAGAUGUAUUCGCGCUGCUUGUUCGCAGUUGUUGACAAGUCUGGAACAAGUUGUUAUCAUCUUGUGACAAGGUUGAUGAGGCCAACAGACUUGCAGGAAGUUGUUUCAACAAAUCUGAUAUCGUUUACACGUACUCGUAGUAACUUGUUACGAACAGCCUGUUUAGUCUUGUUGGAACAACUUACAGCUACACACGUAUAAACUAAAAACGCACAAGUUGUUACAGGUCUGCAAACAAGUUGUUACAAGUCUAUUCACAAGUUGUGUUCGCACUGCUUGUUCCCAGUUAUUGUAACAAGUUUGGAACAAAUUGUUAACAACUUGUAACAAGCUUGAUUCCACUAUUCACACUUGCUACAAGGUUCUAAUAAGUCUGAUACAGUUAUGAUGUAACAAGAAUGUUGCAAGGUUAACGAUACACGGUUGUGACGAUAUUUUUAUAUCAUGACUGUAUCGGACUUGUUGGAACAACCUUGCCACAAGUUUGAUAAUGCCGUCAAGCUUGUUAUGAUAAUGCCGUCAAGCUUGUUACAACUGUUAACAAGUCGUUCAAACUUGUUGACAACUUGAGACAAGCAGUGCGAACACAACUUGUUGACGGCUUGUUGGUAGACUUGCUACAAGAUGCGAGAUUUUUGCGAAUGAAGUCCUAAUUUUACCUUCAUCAACCUUGUAACAAGGUGUUAACAACUUGGUCCAAACUUGGCACAGCAACUGAAUCUAAAUUUGCCUGAUAUAUUUCCACAGGCAACCCUAAAGAAAUGUCGUCAAACAUUGAAAGAAGUACGUCACUACCAGCGCUCAUUGCGCAUGAGCAAUGAUAGUCUUGAGUUGAUGGCAGAUAACUUAACGUCCUUGGUGGAAAAUUUGAAGACAAAAUCUGAAGAAAGAAUGGAACAUUUCAAGAAAGAAAAAGAUUUUAUGCAGUCACUUGUCAAGGUAUUUUCUUGGCGCUAUACAGGGUGUAUAAAAAAAAACUGGACAAAUUUAAAAUUGCUCUCAAUUUCGCAAAACAGCUAUUUGUAUCCGGUUUUUUAUAUAUAUAGCCUCUUUGGGUGCUUAUAAUGUAGAAUAAUGAGAAAAAUUUCUCAAACUCAAAUUUUGUGAACCAGGGGGGUGUGUCUUUUCCAACAAACUAAAAAUGGCUCGCGCACAAAAUUUAAAAGCUGCAAUCAUAUUUUGAGUUAACAGAUGGAAAAUUUGUCGGGUUUUUAAUUACUGUACAAAAUUUCAGACAAUUUGGUUUAGUUUAAGCCCCUUAACUAUUCACGCAAAGUUACAAUUUUCCCGAAAAAUCAGCUAUUUGCAUGCUUAAUUAAUGCAUUUGCCUAAUUUGCAUAUGUCAGCAAUAUGCAAAUUAGAUAAAGGCAUUAAUUAAGCAUGCGAAAGGCUGACUUUUUAGAACAAAAUGAAUAGUUAAAGGGCUUAAACUAAACCAAAUUGUCUGAAAUUUUGUACAGUAAUUAAACACCCGACAAAUUUUCAAUCUGUUAACUCAAAAUAUGAUUACAGCUUUCAAAUUUUGUGCGCGAGCCAUUUUUAAUUUGUUGGAAAAGACACACCCCCCUGGUUCACAAAAUUUGAGUUCGAGAAAUUUUUUUCAUUGUUUUACAUUAUAAGUACCCAAAGAAGCUAUAUAUAUAAAAAAACAGAUACAAAUAGGUGUUUUGCGAAAUUGAGAGCAAUUUCAAAUCUGUUCAGUUUUUUUAUACACCCUGUAGAACGGACAAGCAGUUAUUGGAUAAGGUUUUUGUCAUAUGACAGAAUUAUUAAGAUCGAGGUAAGUGUUAUCAGUCGAGCAGAAGGUAAGAUUGGUAACACUUACUGAGACCUUGAUAAUUCGGAUGUCACGAAAACCGAAUUCACCAUAACAGCAUAAAAAUAUUAAAAUAUCAUAGUAACAGCAUAAAAAUAUUGGAAAUCUCAUUUUUCUAGCUACUAAAGUUCCAAUAAAAAGGGCUGCUUUUUGCACAACAAAAUUCACAAAAAUGCCGUUCGUUUAUGUUGUUUUUUCUGAUAUUCGGAAUCAGAAGACAUGUACUGACUACAAUGUAUAAUAAUAUGAAUUAAACUGAACUGAACUAAACCAAUUCUAAUGUGUUAUCUUAAAUUUUUAAUUUCAGGCUGAAAGUUGGUGUGAAAAGGCCAGUGAUCUCUGGCCUGCAAAUCAAAUCCCCAGUACGACACAAGAAAACGUUCAUUUCUCGCCGUCAAGGUUAACUGAUUCGAAGAAUAAAUUUGAGGUCUUCUUGGAAAGGCAUCCGCCACUGACCUGUAAAGAAUUGGAACCCUUGCUGGACUAUGUGGACAAUAUUGAUGACCUCGAGUUACGCAACCGUGCUCGGUUGCUAGGGAACCGUUGUCAAGAACUGGAAAGAAUCUUACGAGCCCACGAAAUGCAUCGUGGUGAUGUCAGCGGCGAAGAAUUGAGGUAUGACGUAUGAAUUAUUGAAACGAGUGUGAAAAUACAAAAAGCAGUUCACCAAAAGCAAAGUGCAAUGAAAUUGGUUACAACGGGCUUUCACAAGUUCAUGAGCGUUGAGAAGCGAGAGUUUGUAUCAGAGUUGAUGAUAGUUGAGAAGCGAGAGUUUGCAUGAGAGUUGAUGAGAGUUGAGCACGUGUAAAUACUCAGAGUGGUUUAGUUAAAUAUAUUGGUUAAGUAUGUAAACUGAUCAAACAGCCAUGUUUUCAAAUAUACUGUACUUUAACAAGCAAAUUUACUGUACUGUGCUGCAGCAACUGUCCAGUCACGGCGUCACGCAUACGUGGUAAAAAGCCGAUAUAAACUUUAUAAACUAAGAGAUAAAUGUAAAACGUAACACAACUGCGGAACAUCUCAAAUAAUGGUAAUGUUGGGAUAUUAGCGUUGCAGACUGUAGAAAAGAGUGGGCAGUAAGGCUCCCUCAUUUACCACCCCAUGGAAAAUCUGCACUUCUCCUUGCAGAUGAGGCUAGAUCCGUACCUGAUCCUCAUCAACUCUCGCGAGCUCUUUUUCUCGUUUUAUUUGAUCGGGCUUGAAGUAUCUUCUUUUAUUUACAGCUCAGAUCAAGAGUCAUCUCAUCAUGGGAAUUCAUUGCCAAAACGUCGGGUACAUUUACGCUCAACAAUUUCAUCCACAGAUGUAUCAAGUAAACGCUGGCACGAUGAUGUCAUGAGCUCGACCACUAUAUCGAAUGAUGACGUCACCAGGUCCAAGGCUACAGAUGUGGGGACUGGGGACGGGAAUUCCCGCUUGGCUGAUAUCCGACGAAGGCUACGAGAUCAGGAAUUAUUGUACGAACAGCUGAUACUUGAGGAGGAACUCAGAGAGGUAGCUGAAAAAGGCGGGGAGGGAAACUUUAGUUCGGAACAAGAAGACAUCAAUCUUGGUUCAAGUCUGGAUAGAAGUUUAGAACAUCAAAAUGGAAAAGCUUUUGAAAAAGGCAACAUUUCAAAACAAGACAAAGUGCCACAAUCAAGAAAUGAAAUGCAAGGAGCGACGAAUUUAUGGAAUGGAGGGUCAAGUUUAAUGAAUUUAACUUCGACGCUAAACAGAAGUAGCGAAACUGAAAAAAUGAACAGUUUGUUCAAACCUUCUGCUGGUCGUACAAAAGAAACUGCCAAUAGAAACGCUGACAAAAAGAAAGCUACGAUAGGUUUACUUCCAAAGGAUUCCCACAACACAGGUUGUUUUGACAGUGGAUAUUUGGUUAAAGGUUUAAGAUCAGAAAAGCAUGGUAAUAGAAAUCCACCGUCUCAUAUUGAUUUGUUGGAUGGAUGCAGUAGUCUGAAACGAUUAUGCGAACUUGGAAAUCCUUUAGCACAAAAUAAUUCCAUUACAGCAUUUGGAACAUAUCGCAAUCAAGACAAAAGGCAUAUAGAUAAUCUGUCCACUCAAAUUUCUACCAAUCCCGUUUUGUCAAGUAAUAAUGUUAGCGUGUUCUUGAAUGAAAGCGUCUUUGGAGUAUCAAAUGAAUCACAUUCGAAAGAUUUUCAAACUUCUACCAGUUACCCUGAAAAUAGUUCACGUGAUCACAAAGAAAGUUCAUAUGGUCUCGAAAAUCGUUCAGAUUAUCCAAAAAGUAGUUCACGUGAUUUUGAAAAUUUUUCACGUGACCGCGAAAAUAAAUCGCGUGAUGACGAAAAUAUAUCACGUGAUGAUAAAUCACGUGAAGUGCUCUUAAAGAAUGCCAGAGAAGCGAUUGACCACUGGACGCGUAUCAAGAAUGAACAACGCGUGCGGCUUGCGCAAGUGAUCGAUGCUAUCGCGACAAGAAAUGAAAUAGAAGAAACGUAUUUCAAUGCUCAAAUACAACUUUGUCGAGCUAGGCAGAAUGUUGCCAAGUUAAGCAAAUCAGACACUAGCCUUGCGUCACUUCCGUUAAACAAUGAUGCCAUAAAUUGCAAUAUUGCGUCAUCGUUUAAUUCAUCAUUUGGUUUGGGCACAAGUGGGGGUCAGAUUCUCAAUGGUGAGGGAGCAUUUCGGAAGUUUGUCAAGAAUGAUGUUGGUGUUGAACAAAUUUCGAAUUCGGAUGAGACAAAGGGGAUGAUGCUAGAUCAUGAGAGGUCUUUAGGGAUAACUGGGGUGAAUGGUGGUGUUGAAAAGGAGAUGGUACUUGAUAACGAGGAUUCAUUAGGGGUAACUGGACAUAUUAUUAAGCAGGACAUUCGAGAGCCACGGGAUUCGAAGGAGGUCUCUGGUGAUUUUACGAAUUUAUCACAUACAGAAGACCGUGUACUACUCCAGGAGAAUGGUGACGGGUUUGAUUCCGAGCAGGGAUCUAGUGACGAGUUUGAUGAUGACGUAGAAGAGGAAGAAUUAAUGUUGUUAUGCAGUCAGUCGUCCAGCGGUUUGCAAUCACAAGACGAGCUGAAAGACAGUUUGCAGGAAGAACAGGCGAAACUGGAAGAAAUGUUUCGACAACAGAAACAACAGUUGAGAAUGGAACGAGAAAAAUUGAUAGAAGAGGAAAAAAGAAUUAACGAAUGGGAAAAAGGGAAAUUGGAAUUAAAAGGAGAGAGCUUGUCAAUGGUUAGUGGAAAUUUGAAUGUUGAAGGGAGUAACGAAACUCUUCAAUUUGGAAAUACUGAGAAUAAUAUUAUGGGCAAGAUUGGCGAUAAUCCCUUACGCAAAGAUUCCCAACCACACGUUCGCCAACAACCAAAGAUUCCCAAUCACCUUCAGAACGAAACAGAGCAACUACAACACGGAAUACCUCAAAUCAACGGUAUAAACGGGUCACAGCGGCAUGAAAUGCCUGCAUCACCGCACAAGAUACUCGAGCAUGCCGUGCUUGAUGUACAGCACGAUAUAUGUGACACAGAACACGACACGAAUUUCCCUCCUGCACCACGGCACGAAAUACCUUCACCACAACACGAAAUUCCUGCACUACAGAACGAACGAACUAGUCUGGAAAACGAACAGCGAGAACAACAGCAUGAAAUAGAGCGCAGAAAUUUGCCUGGACACGAAGAAAAGUCGCAACACAAAAUGCAAGAAAAAGAACGAGGAAUUGAGCAUUCGCGGCACGUGCAUGAUGGAGCCAAACAAAAACAAUCUUCGUAUUUUGAAGCAUUAAAACAAAAAGAUAUCUUGCCAACACAUAUGAAAUCUGUUGAUCAAAAUACUCAUACAACGACAUUUCGGGCAUCGAAAGAUUCCCCAGAAAGGACCGUUGAUGAAACUAUCAGAAUUGAAAGUGACGUGAACGACCUAAGUCAGAUUGUUGUCAGUAAUUUCAAUUCAGACAAUGAGAGUAGAAACGAAAUCGAGGAGGAAUUGAUCAACAUUUUACAAGAUAGAACAUUAGAAACGGAAGGAGAAUCAUCUGAAGAACGAGACCAAGAAUUUGGGCCAAACGUUCCGCCAUCGGGAAUGGAUGGCAGUCCUCCCACCAUGUUAGAUGAUAAUGCUGAUAUUGAUUUGAUGAAUCAGCUUAUUGAUGAUUUAAUGAUUAACGAUCACGAUAGAGCUAAUCAGGAUGACUAUAAUAGGGUUAGUCUGGAUAGUGCGCAAGUGAGCGGGGGUGAUCAUAGGGUAGGUGUUGAUAAUGAUAGGGUAAAUGUGGAUAAUGACAGCUUGAGUGAGGGCAGUAUAGGGGUAGAUGUUGAUAAUUUUGGUAUAAAUUUGGAUGACGAUGAUGUGAUAAAUCAAGAUGAUAUAAAUAUAGCUGUUGAAAGUAAUAUGAUAAAUGGGGAUAAUGAUAGCAUAAGUGAAGGUGAUAUAGGGGUAGAUGUUGAUAAUGUGGUAAAUUUAGACGAUUUGGGCAUAAAUGAGGUUGACGUCGAUUUGGGUGAUCUUGGUAAGAAAGUUGAUAAACCAGAAGCGAAUGUGGAUAAUUAUUUGAUAGACUCAAACAUUGCUGAUGCUGGAAUAAAUAAGGAUGGUUCUGAACUGAAUGACGAUAACUGUGAUGUUCUUGGUGAUAAGAUUGCUUUAGGUUUUGAUCAUGGGACAAAGAGGAUACGGAACGAUUCUGACGAUUUUCGGUCCGGGGAUCGUGUAAAAGCGGAAGAGAUGCCUUAUGAUAUGAACGAGAGAGCCCGAAGUGGAGGAAUGGGACUCGAUGUUGACUUUACUAUAGAUCUGAGCAAGGACAGUGAGGCGAUCCAAAACAAUGAUCUUAUAGGGUUACUCAACAGUCACGAAGCGACAUCUGAUGACGAUAAAACGCUUCAAGAGAGCGAGAGUCCACGAAAUGAAGAAUUGGGACUCGAUGUUGACUUCACUAUAGACCUGAACGAGGACUGUAAAACGGUUGAAGGGAAUGAUCUGAUAGACUUACUACGUAAUCAGAGUGAUGCAUUCUCUAGUCAAGAAAGCCUUGAUGUAGAUGACAAUAAUUUCUCAGAGGGAAAUUCUGAAAUGUCUGAAACCUUUAAGGCUGAACGCAGUGGUCGACUACUUGGGACAAAUAGCAACAGCAUGAGGAAGGGAACAUUGGAACAAGAAGAUAACCUUUGUGGACUCCAGCCAC
Molecule: long non-coding RNA, 7149 nt
Filed under: Paramuricea clavata
Lineage: Eukaryota; Metazoa; Cnidaria; Anthozoa; Malacalcyonacea; Plexauridae
Source: RNAcentral